UGCACUUCUUGAGAGUGGCGAACGGGUGAGUAACACGUAGGUGAUCUACCGCAGGGGUUGGGGAUAGCCCAUGGAAACAUGGGGUAAUACCGAAUACGCUCAUUUGGCUGUGGCCGGAUGAGGAAAGGCGCUUCGGCGUCGCCCUGCGAUGAGCCUGCGCCCCAUUAGCUAGUUGGUAGGGUAAAGGCCUACCAAGGCGACGAUGGGUAGCCGGCCUGAGAGGGUGAUCGGCCACACUGGGACUGAGAUACGGCCCAGACUCCUACGGGAGGCAGCAGCUAAGAAUCUUCCGCAAUGGACGAAAGUCUGACGGAGCGACGCCGCGUGGGUGAAGAAGGCCGGAAGGUUGUAAAGCCCUUUUCUCGUUGAGGAAUAAGCACAGGAGGGAAUGCCUGUGCGAUGACGGUAGGCGAGGAAUAAGUCCCGGCCAAUUACGUGCCAGCAGCCGCGGUAACACGUAUGGGACGAGCGUUGUUCGGAAUCAUUGGGCGUAAAGGGCGCGUAGGCGGCGAGGUAAGCCUGGUGUGAAAGACCGCAGCUUAACUGCGGAACCGCGCUAGGAACUGCUUUGCUUGAGUUCAGGAGGGGGAGCUGGAAUUCCAGGUGUAGGGGUGAAAUCUGUAGAUAUCUGGAAGAACACCGGCGGCGAAGGCGAGCUCCUGGCCAUGAACUGACGCUGAGGCGCGAAAGCGUGGGGAGCGAACAGGAUUAGAUACCCUGGUAGUCCACGCUGUAAACGAUGUGCACUAGGUGUUGGACCACGAAGGUUCAGUGCCGGAGUCAACGCGUUAAGUGCACCGCCUGGGGAGUAUGCUCGCAAGGGUGAAACUCAAAGGAAUUGACGGGGGCCCGCACAAGCGGUGGAGCAUGUGGUUUAAUUCGAUGAUACGCGAG
This 894-nucleotide ribosomal RNA is filed under the name uncultured organism. RNAcentral's name for it is "bacterial SSU rRNA". It matches the Rfam family "Bacterial small subunit ribosomal RNA", at positions 81 to 965 of the family's 1533-position model. The record is from RNAcentral.